AUACGGAGGGUGCGAGCGUUAAUCGGAAUUACUGGGCGUAAAGGGCGCGUAGGUGGUUUGGUAAGUCAGAUGUGAAAUCCCUGGGCUUAACCUGGGAAUUGCAUUUGAUACUGCCAGACUAGAGUGUGAUAGAGGUAAGCGGAAUUCCCGGUGUAGCGGUGAAAUGCGUAGAUAUCGGGAAGAACAUCAGUGGCGAAGGCGGCUUACUGGAUCAACACUGACACUGAGGCGCGAAAGCGUGGGUAGCAAACAGGAUUAGAUACCCCAGUAGUCC
This 274-nucleotide ribosomal RNA is filed under the name uncultured bacterium. Its description in RNAcentral is "partial 16S ribosomal RNA". It matches the Rfam family "Bacterial small subunit ribosomal RNA", at positions 523 to 796 of the family's 1533-position model. The record is from RNAcentral.